This 253-nucleotide ribosomal RNA is filed under the name uncultured bacterium. Its description in RNAcentral is "partial 16S ribosomal RNA". It matches the Rfam family "Bacterial small subunit ribosomal RNA", at positions 524 to 776 of the family's 1533-position model. The record is from RNAcentral.
UACGUAGGGUGCAAGCGUUGUCCGGAAUUAUUGGGCGUAAAGAGCUCGUAGGCGGUUUGUCGCGUCGACUGUGAAAACCCGGGGCUCAACCCCGGGCCUGCAUUCGAUACGGGCAGACUAGAGUUCGGUAGGGGAGUCUGGAAUUCCUGGUGUAGCGGUGAAAUGCGCAGAUAUCAGGAGGAACACCGGUGGCGAAGGCGGAUCUCUGGGCCAUUACUGACGCUGAGGAGCGAAAGCGUGGGGAGCGAACAGG